This 72-nucleotide ribosomal RNA is filed under the name Sphingobacterium sp. N143. Its description in RNAcentral is "partial 23S ribosomal RNA". Lineage: Bacteria; Pseudomonadati; Bacteroidota; Sphingobacteriia; Sphingobacteriales; Sphingobacteriaceae. The record is from RNAcentral.
AAGAAAGUAAAUAAGGGCACACGGGGGAUGCCUAGGCUCUCAGAGGCGAAGAAGGACGUGAUAAGCUGCGAU